UAUCAAAUUAUAUCAUAUCUAAAUUAUAAAUUGAGUUCAAAACUCCAUACCUGAGUACGGAUAGCAGAUCAUGACAUCCCAAAUCCAUGGUAGUUGGUUCUUCAUGAUGCUCAGCAGCCUCACAUAUGUCUAACCUCUAUGGAUAUCCACGCGAAGUCCUUGUACUGAUCGAUCUUUUCGAGAAUGCUAGCUCGUGAAGAUACCAUACUGUUGGC
Molecule: long non-coding RNA, 215 nt
Filed under: Elaeis guineensis (African oil palm)
Lineage: Eukaryota; Viridiplantae; Streptophyta; Magnoliopsida; Arecales; Arecaceae
Description: long non-coding RNA (EGUI_LNC024564)
Source: RNAcentral